RNAcentral lists this ribosomal RNA (476 nucleotides) under Porphyromonas cangingivalis. Its description in RNAcentral is "bacterial SSU rRNA". It matches the Rfam family "Bacterial small subunit ribosomal RNA", at positions 9 to 469 of the family's 1533-position model. The record is from RNAcentral. Lineage: Bacteria; Pseudomonadati; Bacteroidota; Bacteroidia; Bacteroidales; Porphyromonadaceae.
GAGUUUGAUCAUGGCUCAGGAUGAACGCUAGCGAUAGGCUUAACACAUGCAAGUCGAGGGGCAGCACGAGAUUAGCUUGCUAAUUUUGGUGGCGACCGGCGUAAGGGUGCGUAACGCGUAUGCAACUUGCCUGUCAGUGGGGAAUAACCCGGAGAAAUCCGGACUAAUACCGCAUACACUUUGGUUUCCGCAUGGGGACUUUAGGAAAGAUUUAUUGCUGACAGAUAGGCAUGCGUUCCAUUAGACAGUUGGUGAGGUAACGGCUCACCAAGUCAACGAUGGAUAGGGGAGCUGAGAGGCUUAUCCCCCACACUGGAACUGAGACACGGUCCAGACUCCCACGGGAGGCAGCAGUGAGGAAUAUUGGUCAAUGGGCGAGAGCCUGAACCAGCCAAGUCGCGUGAAGGAAGACGGUCCUAUGGAUUGUAAACUUCUUUAGUAGGUGAGUAACAAAGCAAGUUAUCCGUGUAAGCUGU